RNAcentral lists this long non-coding RNA (2028 nucleotides) under Capsicum annuum. Its description in RNAcentral is "long non-coding RNA (CANN_LNC021130)". Lineage: Eukaryota; Viridiplantae; Streptophyta; Magnoliopsida; Solanales; Solanaceae. The record is from RNAcentral.
AUAUUAUCAAACCGAUUCAAGGUUAUUGUGGAAGAUAACAGAAGAUAGGAGUGUUCAAAAACAGAAGAUAAGAAUGUUAUUGAUUUAUUAUUAUUGGUUAUUGGGCUAACAAUUUUUAUUAGUUUUAUAGAAAAAAAAUUAUUGGGUUACUCGUUUGGUUUUGAUUUUUUUAUAUUGAGUUAUUGGGUAAAUCGAUAACCCAAUACGAAUAUAUUAAAUUAUUACUUUAUCUCUUUGUAGACAUCUAAAAUUUGUGGGACUCUACAAAAAGAAUCUAAAUACUGUUAGAGUUCUUAGAGUCUAAUUUACCCUAAACCCUGAAUUAUGCCUAUAUAAAGAGACAAAUAUUCCCUUAAAGAAGCAUCUUGAAUAUCUCAGAAAUUCGGGAUAUUCAUAGAUGAAAAUCCUCUUUCUUGAUAAUCAAAUACAUUAAGAAGAUCCAUAUUCCUAUAUUCGAGAAAUACGCUACGGCCCUCGAAUUAUGAAGAUCCAUAGUCCCAUGUUUGAGAAAUACGCUAAGACCCUCGAAUUAUGAAGAAAAUUAUGAGAGAUCAAUCAAGGAAGGAACAAAAUUGUACCCAUAUUCGUUAUUAAUAAAAUGUUCUUGUUUCUUCAUGUUUUAUUUGUGAUUGUAAUUUGUUAUUCAUCACUGUAAAAUUUGUUGGAAACAAAUUGGCACGCCUAGUGAGACUAAAUCUGCCCUUCAUCUCUUCUCUCAUAAAUCAUAAAUCAUAUGUGUAAAUCUGUGGCCGCAUUAAAGCUGCAGCCGCAUCAAGAUAGAAGCUCUAUGUGUACUUCAAGACUCGUCAUCAAGUACACUUUGACAAGCUUUGAAGCAGGGAGCAUUUGUAGACAUCUAAAAUUUGUGAGACUCUACAAAAAGAAUCCAAAUUCUAUUAGAGUUCUUAGAUUCUAAUUUACCCUAAACCCCGAAUUAUGCCUAUAUAAAGAGGCAAAUAUUCCCUUAAAGAAGCAUCUUGAAUAUCUCAGAAAUUCGGGAUAUUCAUGGAUCAAAAUCCUCUUUCUUGAUAAUCAAAUACAUCAAGAAGAUUCAUAUUCUUAUAUUCGAGAAAUACGCUACGGCCCUCGAAUUAUGAAGAUCCAUAUUCUCAUGUUCGAGAAAUACGCUACGACUCUCGAAUUAUGGAGAAAAUUAUGAGAGAUCAAUCAAGGGAGGAACAAAAUUUUACCCAUAUUCGUUAUUAAUAAAAUGUUCUCAUUUCUUCAUGUUUUAUUUGUGAUUGUAAUUUAUUAUUCAUCACUGUAAAAUUUGUUGCAAACACCCUUAUUUAUAUAUAUCACACACCUUCACUUAAUUUGUCUUUAAUUUCUACAAACUUAUUCAAAUUCUUAAAAAACUACUCAGUUCAUUUUGAAAUUUGGCACUGCAAGACAUACAUGAAAGAAUCUUUCAUUUUAUAAUAUGAAGAGGACGUUUUAAGGCAAUUUUGACAUUUUUAUCAUUUAAUCUACUUGCUGCAUAGGUUGUGAACAAGAUGAUGGACUUCUUAUUUUGUGGAUUUUGACACUGUACGACAUGUAUCAUGUUAGCUGCCAUUUUAAAAAAAAAAUUGUGAACAUCCUCACUGAUGUCGUGUUAGUUUCUAUCGUUACACAACACUAAAAAUCAUUGCGACAAAUUGAUAUUUAUUUCAUGAGCAUUUCUUUAUCGUUUAAAUUAAAAACUAAAUUGUUAAAGAUCAAAACCGAUAAAAAAUAGGAUAAAUUAUACAAAAAAACAACCUUAAGUAUUGUAUUCUAUAUUACUUAAAAUCCCAUCCUACUAAACUAAUUACAAAAAGUAUAAACUACAUAAAUUCCUUAGUAAGUGGAUAAAAAAUAGGAUAAAUUAUACAAAAAAAACACCUUAAGUAUUGUAUUCUAUAUUACUUAAAAUCCCAUCCUACUAAACUAAUUACAAAAAGUAUAAACUACAUAAAUUCCUUAGUAAGUGAAAGUAAUUACAUAAAAUUCCUUCAGCCUUUCUCUCGCCCGAUUUUGAGAAAGAUACUCAUACAUCUAGUCAAC